GAUAAGUUAAAUAGCUGCGGUAUUUUGACCGUACAAAGGUAGCAUAAUCAAWAGUUUCUUAAUUAGGAACUGGAAUGAAAGGUUGAAUAAGAAAAUAACUGUCUCAAUUUAAUUUUAUUAAAAAUUUAUUUUUGAGUUAAAAAGCUUAAAUUUUUUUUAAAGACGAGAAGACCCUAUAGAGUUUUAUUAUUUUUAUUAUUUUUUAUUUUAGAAUAAAAUUAAUUUUUAAUUAAAAAUAAUUUAGUUGGGGUGAUUGAAAAAUUUAUAAAACUUUUUUUUUAUUUUUUACAAAAAUUUUUGAAUUUUUGAUCCAUUUUAAAUGAUUACAAGAUUAAAUUACCUUAGGGAUAACAGCGUAAUUUUUUUUGAGAGUUCUUAUCGAAAUAAARGGUUGCGACCUCGAUGUUGGAUUAAAAUUAAUUUUUGGUGAAGAAGCUAAAAAAUU
Molecule: ribosomal RNA, 445 nt
Filed under: Stanus bowesteadi
Lineage: Eukaryota; Metazoa; Arthropoda; Insecta; Coleoptera; Corylophidae
Description: partial 16S ribosomal RNA
Source: RNAcentral